GGUAGUCCUAGCCGUAAACGGUGCUUGCUUGCUGUAGAAGGAAUCGACCCCUUCUGUGGCGAAGCCAACGCGAUAAGCAAGCCGCCUGGGAAGUACGGUCGCAAGAUUAAAACUCAAAGAAAUUGACGGGGCCUGCACAAGCGGUGGAGUAUGUGGCUUAAUUCGAUGCAACGCGAAGAACCUUACCUGGCCUUGACAUGCAUCUAGUAGGAGGGUGAAAGCCCGACGAGGUAGCAAUACCAGGAUGCACAGGUGCUGCAUGGCUGUCGUCAGCUCGUGUCGUGAGAUGUUGGGUUAAG
RNAcentral lists this ribosomal RNA (299 nucleotides) under uncultured bacterium. RNAcentral's name for it is "partial 16S ribosomal RNA". It matches the Rfam family "Bacterial small subunit ribosomal RNA", at positions 789 to 1084 of the family's 1533-position model. The record is from RNAcentral.